UCCUCACACCGACCAGCCCAAGGAACAUCUCACCAAUUUUAAAUCGGAAGGCAGGAAUGUCAGGCCUCUGAGCCCAAGCUAAGCCAUCGCAUCCCCUGUGACCUGCACGUAUACAUCCAGAGGGCCUGAAGUAACUGAAGAAUCACAAAAGAAGUGAUAUUUAAAUGGCCUGUUCCUGCCUUAACUGAUAACAUUCCACCACAAAAGAAGUGAAAAUGGCCGGUCCUUGCCUUAACUGAUGACAUUAGCUUGUGAAAUUCCUUCUCCUGGCUCAUCCUGGCUCAAAAAUCUCCCCCACUGAGCACCUUGUGACCCCCACUCCUGCCCACCAGAGAACAACCCCCCUUUGACUGUAACUUCCCUUUACCUACCCAAAUCUUAUAAAAUGGCCCCACCC
RNAcentral lists this long non-coding RNA (397 nucleotides) under Homo sapiens (human). RNAcentral describes it as "HSALNT0367171". The record is from RNAcentral. Lineage: Eukaryota; Metazoa; Chordata; Mammalia; Primates; Hominidae.